RNAcentral lists this long non-coding RNA (964 nucleotides) under Marmota monax (woodchuck). Lineage: Eukaryota; Metazoa; Chordata; Mammalia; Rodentia; Sciuridae. The record is from RNAcentral.
GCAUGAUUAUUGUUUCAAUUAAAAAUUUAAAAGGGGGAAGAUGUUCUUUGCUGAUGAAACUAUUUUAGAACAGUUUGCUAAAACACAUUUCUUAGAAUAAAUGGAAUAAAUACUAUAUUAUCUAUAUACAUGUAUAUGUGGAAGUCCCGUUCCACAUACAGGACUUUGCGAUUGUAUUUAAUCUACAGAUCAGUUUGGGGAGAAUUGACAUCUAUGAUACAUUGAAUUUUCCAAUUACUGGCUUGAUCUUUCAUUUGUUUAGUCUUUCUUAAAUUUCCCUCAAUUACUAUAUCUAUAUACAUGUAUAUAGAUAUAGUAAUCUAGAUAGCAAUAUUAUAACAUUUUGCAGGGGGGCAUGCAGUAGUACAAUUUGAUGAUCUCCAAUCUUUUAACCACUGUGUGGAAUUUCAUUGUAUGUAUCAUUAAAGUUCUAACCAUUUGUUAACAUAAAUAUUUAGGUUGUCUCUGAUUAUUUUCUAUUUUAGAAAUAUUGUAAUGAACAUCCAUGAGUAUGUGUAUAGAAGUAUUUGGAUUGAAAUUGUUGACUCCAGUGUCAUUUACAUUGUAAUUUUUUAUAGGAAAAUUUUAAAUGGCUCUUCAAACUGAUUGAGACAAUAAAUACUGUAUGGCAAGGACCUUUCUCCAGUUUUGCCAACAGUGAUAAUCACUUUUCAAUGAAUGCUUUGGUGAAUACAAUGAAUACAGUUUUACUUAACCUUUAAAUGUUCUAUUUAGCACAAAAACUGUGUGUGUGUGUGUGUGUGUGUGUGUAUUUUGCUGGGGAUUGGACCCAGGGCCUUGUGCAUGUGAGGAAAGCCCUCUACCAACUGAACUAUGUCCCCAGCCCACAAAAAUGACUUCUUUGAGAAUCCAGCACCUCUAAUUGUAUCAGGCACCUUGUGACACUCAAUGUAUCUGUCAUGGGGCUGAGGCUGUGGCUCAGCUAAGGUAGCACGCUUGUCUG